AUGAUGCAGCACCACCACCAGCUGGACCAGUGGCUCGCCGGCGGCGGCGUUGGCGGCGUGCUCCGGCCGACCAAGUCCGCGCCCUGCUCCCCUGUCAAGCCGGCGGCGGUGUCCAUGCUGCGGACGCACUCUGACUCCUUCCACGUCGCCCACAAUGUCCCCGUCGGCGACAUCCCCUACGUCCGCGUCAAGCGCGUCCAGCUUGUGGACAAGGACCCGGAGAAGGCGAUUGCGCUGUUCUGGGGCGCCAUCAACGCCGGCAACCGCGUGGACACCGCGCUCAAAGACAUGGCCAUCAUGAUGAAGCAGCAGAACCGCACCGAGGAGGCCAGCGAGGCCAUCAAGUCGCUCUGCGUCCGCUCCUCCGACCAGGCGCAGGAGUCGCUCGACAAGCUGCAGGCCUCGGUCCCUCCCUCCCUCCUCGGCGGCUCCAGGAACCCUAGAUGGCCAUGGCGUGUGUGCGUUCGGUCAUGUGCAGGCACUGUCCUCCCAUCUCAUCUCCCUUGUGUACUAAUAUGUCGUUUAUGCAGCUGA
This 534-nucleotide ribosomal RNA is filed under the name Triticum aestivum (bread wheat). RNAcentral's name for it is "partial small subunit ribosomal RNA". The record is from RNAcentral. Lineage: Eukaryota; Viridiplantae; Streptophyta; Magnoliopsida; Poales; Poaceae.